AAAAGAAAUCAGUCUUUGAACAAUGCCCUCAAAUGACUGACGUUAGCUAUUCACGUCGACACAGUGUAGCAAAGUACACCGCGUUGUGUUCACAAAGCAGGAAACCAGUCCGUCAAACGUGUGUGCGCGCGCGCGGUGGUCUAAGUACUCAACGUCGGUGUAACGGUUGCUUUACCUGGUGAAGAAAUGGAAGCGGGCGGGUAGUUUUGAGACCGCAGCGAAGAGGCUGAAUACUUCCCAAAAGUCUCGCCGUAACUUUGCCGACCAUCCGCACCGAAGCCAUCGUCAGCCGUGAAAACGUGUUAGCCGUGCUGUUGGGGCAUUCCGGUCAGUGAUACUCCCUCAACGUGAGCCUCGCUAGUCCCGGUGUCCCCGGCUGGAAACGGGUUGCUGUCGCUGUAAAUGUACACAGAUGAGCUGAGACGACCGCUACGGGACAGAGGGAGGAACAGCCCCGCCUGAGCUGUGUACUAGUUCCUCCUUACAGCACACACGCAGAAAUACCACGUUUUAAACGAGAAACAGGAGAAUAGAAGAGCACCACUGUUUUCACGUUUUUGUUGUCUGAAGCCAAAAACCAAAAUACGAGAGAACCAAAGUCAAACAACGAGCCGAUUUAGAUUUUUACUAAAUUUCUCUUUUGAAGAGAGACGCAAAGCAAGACAGGUGACCCGGAAGUACGAAGAUUUCAAAAUAAAAGUCAAAGCAAUAUGACCGUAUGCGAGCAAUUGCUAUUUACAGUCGAUGAUGCAAGCACAUACCAGGAUAACAGAAGAAAAAUAAAUUAAUGAAUAUAAAUAAAUACAUCUGGGCCGAUGAGGGUAUGUUAGCAACAGUAGUGGACUAUAGGUGAUUUAAUAUGCAUGUAUCCAUGUAUACAGCAAGAAUAAACUUUUCGAUUAAUCAGUGCAUUGUUUAAUGCAAUACAGUUCGUAACAUAGUUUAAUCAAAGCCAUGUUUGUGUUCACAGAGUUGUUGCUGUUGGCACUGAUAUUUAUUUUUCCACCAUAUUCUGUUCCUUGAGUGAAGGCAGAGCACAGCCUGUAAAAGGAGACGCAGAGUGUUUACCAUUUCUACUAGUAGAUAGCAGUAUAUUAUUAUUUAACCAUAGAUUUAAUUAUAUUUACCUGUGUUUUUUUAUUGUCUAGGUUAUUGAUACAGAUGUAUUUAAUGCUGUUUAUUUCAUCUGGUAUUUGACAGUCUGUCUGAGAAGUAAAUUCUCCUUAUUCAACAGCGUGGAUCUGAGAGGAAAACAGUUCAGAAAUUAGCAACAGAAAUGAGGAUCUACAGGCACACAAGUGCAUCUGGUGACAGCUGGUUCCCAGUCCGUCUCUGACCUCUACACGCAGCGUCAUGACGUAAUGCGUUCCAUAGGUCCCCCUGGUGAGGUCUGACAGAUUGAGCUGUAUCCGGUUCCAGCAAUCAUCCAGGCUCAUAGGCAUAAAGCAGAUGGACGGGUACACUCGUGUCCUGCUUUGAUAAUUGCUCAUCCUGAAACACCACUGAUAAUUUGUAUUAUCUAACACCUAAAUGUUUUUUCAAAGAUAGGAAGAAAGCAUGAAUCUGGUGACUGCAAGGAAGAAACCCAUAACUAUGCAUCACACCUUUGUUUGUUCUGACACCAAGACAUGGAAGCCGUCUGUAUCUGUAUCUGCCUACCCUACCUCAACUUCAAAGCUGAAUUCCUCCUUGAGAUUUUUGAUGGUCAUAACGAGAAAAGGAAGCCUGAUGUCUUCUUGGGGUCUGCGGGACACGUUAUGUAGUUGGUACUACUGCAGGGAUAAAAUAGAAAGACAAGGGAGAUGAAUGAGGGUGAAGAGUGCUUAAAUAGGUUGACCUCAGCUGAAGAAUCAGUUAAACAUAAACUCACCUGACGUUUAUCCCCCAUAGGCUACAUCCAACACCAGUGAGCGGAUGUCAUCAUCCAUGAUUCUCUUGAUGUGACCAUUCUUCACCUGUGAACACACAGAAAUAUCAUGAGGUUUAUAUGGAGAAAUUAAUUGAUUUUAAAUUUUACAGACAUGUUCAGCUCAAUGUGCUCUACAAAAAAAGAUGAGUCUGCCUGACUAGAUUUGAACCCGUACAUACACCGUGCUCUAGCUGGUGCAGUGCUGGACUACAACCGCUCAGACCCGGAGCUGCUCAUCAGAGCCAAGGACCCGGCAACUCUGAAGUCGGUCUCAGACGAGGAUGUUGUCCGCUGCUACAUAUCCAGGGAGCAGCUCAAACACCACGUGAGGAGGGUCACGCUUGGGGCUCAGGAGACAUUUCGGCUCAUCCACCUGACCAUAGAGGAGCUGAAAGGUCCCGCUGGGCUGGAUGAGAGUGGAGUCAGCCUCUUCAAAACACCUGAGACCACUGCAACACGGUUAUCGAUGUCAUGGGAGUCUGCAUUGGCGCGGCGUGGCACUGUUUCACCAAUUUAAACAGGGUUGGACGGCUCUUGGAGAACGUGCUCAGCUACACUGUUGCUGGGAUUGACAGACAUAACAGCAGACUCUUCUGGAUGGGUGAGUUUGUACUUUGUCAUCUUUUGAAGGGGGGUCUAUCUUGUUCAACAGACAAAGGCUGCCCCCUUGUGCACUUGGAGUAGCAUUGCAAAACCAUAAUGCACAAUGAAUACGUCGGAGAUAUUCACUCUGCUAUAGAGGCAUUGAACUCAUACAAAGAAGAAACAGUAUUCACUUCUACAUUGCAAAUAUCUUUAUAUAAGCUUGUUGAGGUCUUGCUGCUUAAAUUAUUGAAAAUGAUCAAAAUAAGAGCAUUACAGUACUUUUUAUAAGGCUACAUUUAGCACCAUCUUGUGGUAUCAAACAGUCACAUGCUCUGAAUAUGUUCAACUUCAGUAACAGUUUGACAAAUAUGUAACAAUGUCUGAAAUACCCGGUAAACUAAGUGAAUGCCUGUGGAAAACAGUAUGGUUUUAAUGACAUUACACACAUGCACUGCUCAAACUAUAUUGCAUCUUCAGGAGAAUUAACAGUUUCAAAGGAGCAUAUUUUCCAAAGUAAUUUGAUUUAUAGUUUAUUAAUAAUGUUUAAAAAAAGAUAUCUUAACAUUUUCACAAAAGUUUCCUGCAGUUCUUUCUGCAUAUCACAUCAAACCCAAACCCCUGUGUUGAGAGACUUUUCCACACACAGAGGCAGGCUUAGAGACAAGUUAACCCUGCAUUUUUAAUAUCUGCAGACUGAAUAUCAAAGGCUUGUGGAAAAUUAUAGAUGAACCAUGACAAGUCAAAUCCAUUUGAGUUAAUGAGACGAAAAGACACCGAGAUAGAGAGAAUGCUUGAAAACUACUGUACAAUCUUCUUAUGUACCGAUACUUUCACUCAGAGUGUACUGUACUGCACCUACAGAAUGUCACUCAGUGGGUUGUGUGUUCAAAGUUACCAGAUGUCUCUGUAACAUUACAGGACCUCUUCUGUGCUAUUUGCAUAGUCGCCAUCAACGUUUUACAGUUUUUUUUGCUGCAAUUGUUAACUGUUUCAUUAAUCUCCCUUGGAAGUUUUCAUGUUUUAUUUUCCUGCAACAUUAAAUCCAAGAAUACUAACUUCCAAACAUGUUUAUUUAUUAUGCCAUCAAUUGAAACCCUUGACGACACACAUGUGAUCUCAAUUUGACGAAUUAUAACUUUGAAUUAGCUGCACUAAAAAUGAUUUAGGUUUGUCCAAUAAAGGGGAGUUCAUAACUCUUUUAUAUUUCUAAUUAAUUGAGAUAUUUUGUAUAGGUCUGUUUUCACUUUGACAUUAAAAGUUUUGUCAAAAAAGGCCACAUUAAAUCCCCCUUUAUUCAUUGUUGUAUAUCAAUAAAUCAUGAUAACAUCUAAGAGACUGAACACGUUUUAAAGGGCAACUGUACCUUGCUCACUCAUACAUAAUAGAAACUGAACUACUGACCUGAGCCUCUGCAUGUUUGAAGUGUCCUGAUAUAUUAUUUUUAGCAUAAUCAGCAAGUUUUUUUUGUGGCCAUAUUACGAUAUGUGAUUAAUAUCCAAGAUGGUUGUAGAUUGUGUAUUGUGAGUGUGUUGGCUAAACAGAGGCAGUAGAAAGUGGAGGGCUGUCAGAGUCAGAGGGAGGGGCUGUUGUUUGAUGUGCGGAGCCGAGGUAAUUG
This is a long non-coding RNA of Anarrhichthys ocellatus (wolf-eel), 4109 nucleotides long. RefSeq lists it as uncharacterized. Lineage: Eukaryota; Metazoa; Chordata; Actinopteri; Perciformes; Anarhichadidae. The record is from RefSeq and is a predicted model, not a curated record. The transcript has 3 exons.